GGGUCAUUCUUGUAUUAUUCAAAGACCCGGCUCUAACCUAACCCUCGAAGUCUCUCCAUUGCCGCCGCUGCGAAGACUCACUCUCCAAAUCUCCAGGCGAUUGUCAACCGUACUUCCGACCGAAAAAACACCGCAAUGCUCGUCGAGAUCUCUGCCCGAUUUCCCGUUAAGAGCAUUACCCUCCAGCUGCAACGAUUUUUUGGGGCGACCUCUGAAGUACGUUCGGCCGCCACAUAACCAGUAACACCAUCCUUACACCCCCGCCGUCGGCAAUAGAUGACCAGUGAACUACCUUCUUCAUGUUAGGAUACUUCGAUGGCGGGCAAGAAUAGGGGAAUUUGCCAUGGUUGUAGAAUGCUGGGACAUAUGAUGUCGGAAUGCCCCAAAAAGAAAAAAUGCCCCGAUUGUGAUGCACGGUUCGUCAAGUGGAUGGAGGUGGAAAAGAACAGUGAACAUAAAGGGCUAUUGUUUCAUUGUUGUACCCGCGACUGUGGGUUCUUCAAAUGGUGUAAAAAUAAGCCCGGUGAAAAAUGUACAUUUCAUGACGAUGGAGACUCAAGUGGUAGUACAAACAAAGAUGAGCACGUGGACGAUUUGUCGCAUAUGUUAAAAUCACUUGUGAAGCUCACGGAUGAGAAAGACUUGGAAAUUUCGUUGAAUAUAAAUAUGCGCAAGGGGAAACGAGUUUCGGAAGAUUUCACAUGAAAUCCGAUGUUUUCGGAAUGUGAAACUUAAGUGUUUGUAUAAGUAUGUAGUACGGCAUGUGUUUAUGUAGGGUAAUGUAGUAUGUUAAGCUUGAGUUUGUAGUAGUUUAGGGUAUGCGGCAAUGUCAUGUUAUCUGAACGUUGUAACGUCAAAUUAUGGCUGUGGCAAUGUAAUCAAGUUCUUUAUUCCAA
Long non-coding RNA from Olea europaea var. sylvestris, 896 nucleotides. RefSeq lists it as uncharacterized. The transcript has 2 exons. NCBI's taxonomy places the organism in Eukaryota, Viridiplantae, Streptophyta, Magnoliopsida, Lamiales, Oleaceae. The record is from RefSeq and is a predicted model, not a curated record.